AGCACCUCAAGUGGUCAGGAUGAUUAUUGGGCCUAAAGCAUCCGUAGCUCGUUUUGUAAGUUUUCGGUUAAAUCCAUGCGCUUAACGUAUGGGCUGCCGGGAAUACUGCAUAACUAGGAAGUGGGAGAGGUAGACGGUACUCGGUAGGAAGGGGUAAAAUCCUUUGAUCUAUUGAUGACCACCUGUGGCGAAGGCGGUCUACCAGAACACGUUCGACGGUGAGGGAUGAAAGCUGGGGGAGCAAACC
Molecule: ribosomal RNA, 247 nt
Filed under: uncultured crenarchaeote
Lineage: Archaea; Thermoproteati; Thermoproteota
Description: partial 16S ribosomal RNA
Rfam family: Archaeal small subunit ribosomal RNA
Source: RNAcentral